RNAcentral lists this transfer RNA (86 nucleotides) under Thermosipho atlanticus DSM 15807. Its description in RNAcentral is "tRNA_Leu_CAG". It matches the Rfam family "tRNA". From Rfam's summary of the family: Transfer RNA (tRNA) molecules are approximately 80 nucleotides in length. Lineage: Bacteria; Thermotogati; Thermotogota; Thermotogae; Thermotogales; Fervidobacteriaceae. The record is from RNAcentral.
GCCGAGGUGGCGGAAUUGGCAGACGCGCAUGACUCAGGAUCAUGUGGGCAUUGCCCGUGCGGGUUCAAAUCCCGCCCUCGGCACCA